CCCUUCCGUAGGGUGAACCUGCGGAAGGAUCAUUACAGUAUUCUUUUGCCAGCGCUUAACUGCGCGGCGAAAAACCUUACACACAGUGUCUUUUUGAUACAGAACUCUUGCUUUGGUUUGGCCUAGAGAUAGGUUGGGCCAGAGGUUUAACAAAACACAAUUUAAUUAUUUUUACAGUUAGUCAAAUUUUGAAUUAAUCUUCAAAACUUUCAACAACGGAUCUCUUGGUUCUCGCAUCGAUGAAGAACGCAGCGAAAUGCGAUAAGUAAUAUGAAUUGCAGAUUUUCGUGAAUCAUCGAAUCUUUGAACGCACAUUGCGCCCUCUGGUAUUCCAGAGGGCAUGCCUGUUUGAGCGUCAUUUCUCUCUCAAACCCCCGGGUUUGGUAUUGAGUGAUACUCUUAGUCGGACUAGGCGUUUGCUUGAAAAGUAUUGGCAUGGGUAGUACUGGAUAGUGCUGUCGACCUCUCAAUGUAUUAGGUUUAUCCAACUCGUUGAAUGGUGUGGCGGGAUAUUUCUGGUAUUGUUGGCCCGGCCUUACAACAACCAAACAAGUUUGACCUCAAAUCAGGUAGGAAUACCCGCUGAACUUAAGCAUAUCAAUAAGCGGAGGAA
This 613-nucleotide ribosomal RNA is filed under the name Meyerozyma guilliermondii. RNAcentral's name for it is "eukaryotic LSU rRNA". The stretch from base 205 to 358 matches the Rfam family "5.8S ribosomal RNA". The record is from RNAcentral. Lineage: Eukaryota; Fungi; Ascomycota; Pichiomycetes; Serinales; Debaryomycetaceae.